UCUAAUAAGAAAAUUGCUCAAAUUUGCUUCUAGUUAACAUAAUUUCCAUAGUCUAAAAUAAACUGCAAGUAAUAAGUCAUUAGCCAAAAAACAAAGCAAGAAAAGCACAGUAAAACGAUGCAUAACAUAACCACAUUUAAGAAUGUAUUCCAGUAUCAGAUGACAAAUUUCAACAAUGCAACGACUGCAAUUCCUUUUGCACCAACCUAAUACUAACCUCCAGCUCCUGCCCCAAUCCAGAACUCAAAACAAAUAUGACAUAUGUCAUCGCACGUGUUGGACUUCCAUCAUCCCUGGUACUAACAAAACCGACAUGCCGUGCAGAGCUCUUUCACCCCCACGCAGAGAUGUCAGACAGCCAUGACCAUUUAACUGUGGACACUUACAUCAAACUUUUGUCGAACUGAAGAAAUCUUUUUCUUUCCUUUGGGUUUUCCAGGUUUAGUUGCAGAGCCACCUGGCCAUGGCAGAGACCCAGCACCUUCUACAAAUUGAAAAGAAAAAAACCACACUUGAUAAGUGUUGCUUUUUUAGGGCCAGGAUGAGGCCAUCCACACAGGAAAACCCUUAACCUUUGGCCCCCAGCUCUCAGGAGAGAAGUGCAACAACAGGAGCAAGCUGAGCCCAUCUCACAGUCAGCAGCCCUUCAAGCAAAGUCCUUGGGCAACCCUGAUAUAAUAAAAUUCUCCUGCUAUCCCAGCAAGAGUUCGAAUUUGCUGACCCAUCUCUUAGUUGGCUCCAGACUACUAGUAAUUAAAUUAAAUCCUUAUAUCACUAACUCAA
Long non-coding RNA from Columba livia (rock pigeon), 783 nucleotides. RefSeq lists it as uncharacterized. The record is from RefSeq and is a predicted model, not a curated record. The transcript is spliced from 2 exons. Lineage: Eukaryota; Metazoa; Chordata; Aves; Columbiformes; Columbidae.